AUACGUAGGAUGCGAGCGUUGUCCGGAUUUACUGGGUGUAAAGGGUGCGCAGGCGGGACUGUAAGUCAGAGGUGAAAGCCCGGAGCUUAACUCCGGAACGGCCUUUGAUACUGCGGUUCUUGAAUCUGAUAGAGGCUCAUGGAAUAUGUGGUGUAGCGGUGAAAUGCGUAGAUAUCACAUAGAACACCAGUGGCGAAGGCGGUGAGCUGGGUCAUUAUUGACGCUCAUGCACGAAAGUGUGGGUAGC
RNAcentral lists this ribosomal RNA (247 nucleotides) under uncultured bacterium. RNAcentral's name for it is "partial 16S ribosomal RNA". It matches the Rfam family "Bacterial small subunit ribosomal RNA", at positions 523 to 769 of the family's 1533-position model. The record is from RNAcentral.